This 367-nucleotide ribosomal RNA is filed under the name uncultured Scuticociliatia. RNAcentral's name for it is "partial small subunit ribosomal RNA". It matches the Rfam family "Eukaryotic small subunit ribosomal RNA", at positions 30 to 405 of the family's 1831-position model. Lineage: Eukaryota; Ciliophora; Oligohymenophorea. The record is from RNAcentral.
GCUUGUCUCAAAGAUUAAGCCAUGCAUGUCUAAGUAUAACUCUUUUACUUUGAAAACUGCGAACGGCUCAUUAUAUCAGUUAUAGUUUCUUUGAUAGUCCCUUACUACUUGGAUACCCGUAGUAAUUCUAGAGCUAAUACAUGCAUCAAUACCCAACUGUUCGCGGAAGGGUAGUAUUUAUUAGACUUAAGCCAAUAUUCCUUGUGUCUAUUGCGAUGAUUCAUAAUAACUGAUCGAAUCUCAAAUUUGAGAUAAAUCAUUCAAGUUUCUGCCCUAUCAGCUUUCGAUGGUAGUGUAUUGGACUACCAUGGCAGUAACGGGUAACGAAGAAUUAGGGUUCGAUUUCGGAGAGGGAGCAUGAGAAACG